UUCACAUCAGAAAUUGCAGCACUGAAGAACAGAGUUCAUGCAGACUUUUACAACAUGCAUCAGCUACAGCAUUUGUUUGUUGAUGGUACCAGCUGUCAAAAACCAAGCAAGUGGCAGUGCUAGAGGUGCCACAAAAGUGCGAAGGAAGUGUCAGGCUGGAUGUCAAAAUGAACACCUUGGAGAACUGGAUGAUGGAACAGACGGUAAAAAUCAGCUAAACAUCAGAGAAAAUGGAGGAAGAGGUCAAAACUGUGAACAGGAACUAGAAGAAAGUGUAGCAGAAAAAGACUUGUCACAAACUUCGAGAGAUUUGGAGAAAAUGAUGUCAAAACACAUCUUCCUCAAGCCCAUGCUGAGUAUCUCUGAUUUGGUUAAUUUCUUGAUUGUCCCAAAUUUGGCCAAUGAAAAAGUCCUUCAAGGCCAGGUGUGGUAGCUCAUGCCUAUAAUCCCAGCAUUUUGGGAGGCUGAGGCAGAUGGAUCACCAGAGGUCAAGAGUUUGAGACCAGCCUGGCCAACAUGGUGAAACCCUGUCUCUACUGGAAAAAAAAAAAAAAAAUUAGCCGGGUGUGGUGGCAAGUACCUAUAACUCAGCAGGCUGAGGCAGGAGAAUCACUUGAACCUGGGAGGCAGAGGUUGCAGUCAGCUGAGAUCAUGCCACUGCACUCCAGCCUGGGAGAAAGAGCAAGACUCUGUUUCAAAAAAAAAAAAAGAAAAAAAAAAAAAAGUCCUUCAAGUUGACUUCUAUAUCUUUUUUUUAAAAAAAACAGCUUUAUUGAGAUCUAAUUUCCCUACCAUACAGUUCACCCAUUUACAGUACACAGUUCUAUGGUUUUAGUUUAUUCAGAGUUGUGCAAGCAUCAUCACAGUCAAUUUUAGAACAAUCAAAUUUAGUUCAUUACCCCUAAAAGAAACUGUUACCCAUUAGUGGUCACUUCCUAUUCC
RNAcentral lists this long non-coding RNA (942 nucleotides) under Homo sapiens (human). Its description in RNAcentral is "non-protein coding LINC02576:10". The record is from RNAcentral. Lineage: Eukaryota; Metazoa; Chordata; Mammalia; Primates; Hominidae.